AUUGAACGCUGGCGGCAGGCCUAACGCAUGCAAGUCGAGCGGAUGAAGGGAGCUUGCUCCUGGAUUCAGCGGCGGACGGGUGAGUAAUGCCUAGGAAUCUGCCUGGUAGUGGGGGAUAACGUCCGGAAACGGGCGCUAAUACCGCAUACGUCCUGAGGGAGAAAGUGGGGGAUCUUCGGACCUCACGCUAUCAGAUGAGCCUAGGUCGGAUUAGCUAGUUGGUGGGGUAAAGGCCUACCAAGGCGACGAUCCGUAACUGGUCUGAGAGGAUGAUCAGUCACACUGGAACUGAGACACGGUCCAGACUCCUACGGGAGGCAGCAGUGGGGAAUAUUGGACAAUGGGCGAAAGCCUGAUCCGGCCAUGCCGCGUGUGUGAAGAAGGUCUUCGGAUUGUAAAGCACUUUAAGUUGGGAGGAAGGGCAGUAAGUUAAUACCUUGCUGUUUUGACGUUACCAACAGAAUAAGCACCGGCUAACUUCGUG
RNAcentral lists this ribosomal RNA (484 nucleotides) under uncultured bacterium. RNAcentral's name for it is "partial 16S ribosomal RNA". It matches the Rfam family "Bacterial small subunit ribosomal RNA", at positions 30 to 507 of the family's 1533-position model. The record is from RNAcentral.